CUACACAGCAAAAACUGGAGUGUUAAAAUUUCAGGGUUAAAGAUGUUAGAGUUGAUUUCCACUCUCAAAGUGUCAUAUUAACACAUUCUGAUUCAAAUAGUAUUCAGUGUUGGAGUUAUUAAACAGUGUUAUUCAAGUCCAAGCAAAUGAACUCUGAAGAGAGUUAUUUAACUUGGUAGGCCCCUGGGCUUCUGCCCAGGUAAACCCGUGGAUCAAUUAAUAGUUUGCUCUGCCGGGCCGAUUUUCCAUGUGCUUCUGCUGGUUACACCGUGGUGGAUGCCUGCCGUGCUGCUUGGAGUAUUUUACACAAACGUAAAAUGCUGGUUCAGGUUCGAUACUGCCAACAGCAGAAGUAUGUGAAGUUGGAAGAGGUUGAUGGGCGUUUUGAGUUUAUGCAGUUUCAUGAAAAAGAAUUUUCUGAUUACUCCUUGUCUUCUGCAUCUGAUUGUUCUGACUCAAGCUUCAGCUCAAAUGCAAGUACAUCAACUAUACUUCUAGAUGAGGGUCCCAGGAAGAAAACAAGAGUUGAGGGUACUGUUGAUGCAGCAUCUGCUAAAAAGUUAAUUGAAGGUGUACUUGGAACCAAUUCAGGUGGUGAAGAGGUUCUCCAGGAAUAUCACACAACACAAACUCUGACAGAUGCUACCAGAAGAAAAAUGGUCAAUAUAAUAGUGGCUCACAUGAUUGAUUGCCAUGGGCACCUCCCCACCAAAGCUGUUAGAGAACAGUACGCGCUAGGGGUAGUGACAUUGUUCCCAUCCCUGAAAGACCCAUACUCCAAGAAAGGCUAUGAACACUUCUAUGAUGCUGCAAGCAGCACUGGAUACAUUUCUUGGCGUUUGAAAACGAUACAGAGAAAGACUAGAAGAGGAUCUGCACCACCAAGUAGCUCCACUGGCUUUACUCAAGGAGGGGGCCCAAAUUACCAAAGGCCCAUUAAUGUCGACAUGCAGCUUGAUGGAGAUGCUUGCCAGGAGGCCAUCUCUUUGCUGAAACAUACAUCCGACACUUCCUUGAUUUUCCAGAAGAUGAGAGAGACCUUUCAGCAUCGUCAGAAGGUCAUCAAUGAUCCUGACAAAAGUCUUGAUAUCCUGUCUAUCUUCCCAAGAUUCUUGGAUACAAGAGGAUUGGUGAAUCAAGACUUCACUCUCCUGUUUGAUGAUGAGAUAUCUACCAGGCUGCUUCAGAAAUGGGAUCCAAUCUUUAGGUAUCAAAUCAUCAAAGAGGCCAAGCAGCUCACCUCAACAGUAGAGUUGCGUCAAUUGGUGCAGUCAGCAGAGAGUCCACCAGGAAGUGAUCUUGAUGAGGCAGCAACCUUUGACCAAGACAUGGCCUCCCUGUUGUUACUGUUACAUCUACUUCCGCCACCCCCAGGAGGACCAAAGUAUCAAAAAAUCAGCGCCUCUGAUGCUGUUGAGAGACUUGUAGUCUUUCAUAAGUCUUGCUGCAGUUUGGAAGAGCAUCUCCAGAAUCAGCAGAGUCAGCAGCCAUACCUCCUGGCUGUUGGGCGCCAGAAGAGGAAGGUCGACAGCUUCUAUGUUGCCAUAGACAAGCGUCUCAUCCCCUGCCAGGCCAGCCGCUCCCUUGGGGCAUUUGAUGAGCUUUUUAAAGCUCAUUUUGUGUUCAAUGUGUCUUAUGAUGCUGCACUUGUGAAUUUCUACACAUUUCUGCAGACAACAGUAUACAAUAUUGAUAUGGGGAAAAUGAAGGAGUCCCCAAGAGUGCGUGACUUGAGAGCCAAAAUCCUUAACCAGGAAAUUCUUCUCACAACCUAAGUAAAAAUCAUUAAAAUGCUGACAUGUUUUUUGUGUAAGAGAGCUUAUCUCAGCAGUCAGCAGCUGAUUUCACAUUUAAGAGGUGAACAUGGUUAUUAUCCUGGACCUAAGUUUAAGUUGUGUUGUUGGCAGCCAGGCUGCAGGCUUCAGUUCCAAACUUAUGCAGGCUUUAGGAAGCACCUCAGUUUUCACAGCAAUGUUGACCACAAUGAUCGAACUUCAGCCAUUGCUUCUUUUUCUAAUGACACAGUUUCACCUGCUUUGGAGGACCAGUUUAAUUCCUCUUAUCUUCCUCACAGUUCUCCCAGUGUUCUUCCAGAGUCUAGUUCUUCCAGUGUUCCAGUGAGCAUUGAUUCAGUACUUACAAGGGAUUCAUCCAAAGAAAUCUGUGCAUCCAUUGUGGCCAAACUGCAGGGUAGUGGCCUUUCUAACAGUUUAGUAUCCUCACUUGUAGGCGAUUUGGAGGAAUUAACAAGUGAGCUUCGCUCAGAAGCAAAGCAGGCCAUUCUUUCUGCGUUACCCACAAAGGACUCCAGCAUAUCUUUAAUAAAUGAAUGUUUUGAAAAUUUUGAAAACCCUUUCACCAAUCUGAACACAGAAUGGAAACGAAAUAAAUACUUCAAUCUAAAAUGGGGAGUUGUAGAACCUAGAGAAAUAACACUUGGAGUGAGGUAUGACAUCAGGCGAAAUCAGAAGUUUGGUACUUAUGAUCAAGUACCUGUGAAGGAUACUUUUAUAUAUGUACCUAUUUUGGAGUCUUUGAAGUUCAUGUUUAGAAAUCCAGAGAUUUGUGUUUUCCUGCAGAGAGAGUGUAGCUCAGAGCCUGAUGCUUAUCAUGACUUUUGUGAUGGAAGUUACUUUAAAACUCACCCUUUGUUUUCAGCCAAAAGGCAUGCAUUACAAAUUCAGCUAUACUAUGAUGACUUUGAAACAGCCAAUCCUCUUGGCUCUAAACGCGGAAUUCACAAAAUUGGCUGUAUUUAUUUUGUUAUAAGAAACUUGCCCCCAAAAUUUAAUUCCAUUUUGAUGAACAUUCAUUUAGUGUCACUUUUCCACACACCAGAUCUGCAAAAGUAUGGUUUUGAUGUUAUACUGGAACCACUGAUAAAUGAUGUCAAAAAACUGGAAAGCCAAGGGCUAAGUCUUCCAUUUUCUGAUGAGCAGGUAUAUGGCACAAUAUCACAGAUCACUGGAGAUAACCUAGGGAUGCACUCAAUUCUUGGUUUUAAUGAGUCGUUCAGUAGCCGUCAUUUCUGUCGCCUUUGUUUGAUUGAGAAGAAUGAUUGUCAAAUGGUGUACAGUGAGGAUGAUCCUAAAAUUAUUCUUCGUGGGAAAGAUUUGUUUGACAUACAUUGCCAGUCUCUUCGGGAAGAUCCUAAAUUGAAGUCACUGUAUGGGUUGAAAAGAAAUUCUGCACUCAAUUCAUUGCAGUAUUACCAUAUUUGCAAUAACUACUCAUUUGAUAUAAUGCAUGACCUUCUUGAAGGUGUGGCUCAGUAUGAGGUCAAAUUGCUUUUUGAGUAUCUUACGCAACACUUCAUAUCAGAACAGAACUUGCUUUCUAGGAUUUAUGGUUUUGACUAUGGAUUUUUAGAAAGAAAAAACCGGCCCACUAAAAUCAUAUUGGACAGUGCUGGCAAUAGCAUUGGUUUGAACUCUAUCCAGACAUUCUGUCUUGUGAAAAACAUCCCACUUUUGUUUGGUGACAUUAUUCCUGCAGGGAACAGACACUGGAAUUUGUUAUUGUUGUUACUUCAAAUAAUGAACAUUGUUUUUUCACCUUGUCUCACUCUGGGAAUGACUAUAUAUUUGAAGAAUUUGAUUAUUGACCACCACAAACUAUUUAAGCACACGUAUCCACACAGAAACUUGAUUCCUAAGCAUCAUUUUAUGAUUCAUUACCCAUCCUGUAUUCGAAAAAUUGGCCCUUUACUGUAUAUGUGGAGUAUGAGGUUUGAAGCUAAGCACAAGUUGUUCAAAGAUUAUUUCAAAAAUUUCAAAAACCUCACCAAAUCGCUUGCUAAACGGCAUCAGAUGGCCAUUGCUUAUCACUGGGAAACCUUUUCUCUUAAACAGAAGGAGUUUGGGCCAAUUAAAUCAUUUUCUUUAAGAGGUGAAAGUGUGGUCAAUAGUGAAAUGCUAUUAUCAAAAGAUGUUUUCUCAACAAGUUGGGUUAAAAUUGAUGGUGUAGAGUACAAAGCUGGACUCGUUGUUUGCAGUACAAUGGAGGAAGACAUGCCAGUCUUUUGUCAAAUAAUUGAUACACUUAUGGUUGAAAAUGACAUUUUUUUGUUGACACACAAACUCUUUACUGAAAACUUUGAUGAACAUCACCAUGCAUUCAAAGUAGUACAAACUGAAGAACGGUGUGUCAUAAAAAUAACUGAACUCAAAUGUCACAGACCAUUUGAUAUUCAAAACUCAUACAGUGCUGCAGAUGAAAGUUUGUACAUUAUAUCUUCAUUUAUUAUGUUUUGAUUCACUUUCUGGGAAAAAGAAGCAUGAUAAUAAAUGUUUUUGGACAAUGUACAGUUUUCUUGAAAUUAUUCUCAUGAUUGUACUUGUUGUCGUUAAAAAGUUAUGUUAAUCUAUUACAUAAAUAGUUCUUUUAGGGAUUAAAACUACCUUAAUAAAAGAUUAAAGAGUUAAAGUAGUGUUAUUUUUCAAUCUGUGUAGUGUUAAUUUAACCCAGUUUGGUGAGUUAAAAAAUUAACUCAGACAUGGUGUUAAUAAUAAUUUGCUCAGUGUUAAUUUAACCCGGUUUUAAGAGUUAAAAAUUAACUCAGACAUGGUGUUAAUAAUAAUUUGCUCAGUGUUAAUUUAACCCGGUUUUAAGAGUUAAAAAUUAACUCAGACAUGGUGUUAAUAAUAAUUUGCUCAGUGUUAAUUUAACCCAGUUUUAAGAGUUAAAGAAGGAACUCUGACAAAGUGUUAAAUAAUUAACUAUUUUGAAAAUGUUAAUUCAACUCUGUAGAGUGUGGAGCUAUAUAAACCCUGAAAAAAUGUUAAAAUCAACUCUGUGGGAGUUGAUUCAACACUACAGUUUUUGCUGUGUA
Long non-coding RNA from Astatotilapia calliptera (eastern happy), 4831 nucleotides. The record is from Ensembl. NCBI's taxonomy places the organism in Eukaryota, Metazoa, Chordata, Actinopteri, Cichliformes, Cichlidae.